Molecule: ribosomal RNA, 397 nt
Filed under: uncultured bacterium
Lineage: Bacteria
Description: partial 16S ribosomal RNA
Rfam family: Bacterial small subunit ribosomal RNA
Source: RNAcentral
AUACGUAGGGGGCGAGCGUUGUCCGGAAUGAUUGGGCGUAAAGGGCGCGUAGGCGGCCCGGUAAGUCUGGAGUGAAAGUCCUGUUUUUAAGAUGGGAAUUGCUUUGGAUACUGUCGGGCUUGAGUGCAGGAGAGGUAAGAGGAAUUCCCAGUGUAGCGGUGAAAUGCGUAGAGAUUGGGAGGAACACCAGUGGCGAAGGCGACCUACUGGACUGUAACUGACGCUGAGGCGCGAAAGUGUGGGGAGCAAACAGGAUUAGAUACCCUGGUAGUCCACACUGUAAACGAUGAAUGCUAGGUGUAGGGGGUAUCGACCCCUUCUGUGCCGCAGUCAACACAAUAAGCAUUCCGCCUGGGGAGUACGGCCGCAAGGUUGAAACUCAAAUGAAUUGACGGGG